This 485-nucleotide ribosomal RNA is filed under the name uncultured Glomus. RNAcentral's name for it is "SSU rRNA". It matches the Rfam family "Eukaryotic small subunit ribosomal RNA", at positions 569 to 1060 of the family's 1831-position model. Lineage: Eukaryota; Fungi; Glomeromycota; Glomeromycetes; Glomerales; Glomeraceae. The record is from RNAcentral.
AGCAGCCGCGGUAAUUCCAGCUCCAAUAGCGUAUAUUAAAGUUGCUGCAGUUAAAAAGCUCGUAGUUGAAUUUCGGGAUCAAUAUGUUGGUCGUGCCUCGGUACGUACUAGCUUAUUGGUUUCUCCCUUCUGACGAACCAUGAUGUCAUUUAUUUGGUGUUAUGGGAAAUCAGGACUGUUACUUUGAAAAAUUAGAGUGUUUAAAGCAGGCUCACGCUUGAAUACAUUAGCAUGGAAUAAUGAAAUAGGACGUUUGAUUCUAUUUUGUUGGUUUCUAGGAUCGACGUAAUGAUUAAUAGGGAUAGUUGGGGGCAUUAGUAUUCAAUUGUCAGAGGUGAAAUUCUUGGAUUUAUUGAAGACUAACUACUGCGAAAGCAUUUGCCAAGGAUGUUUUCUAUUAAUCAAGAACGAAAGUUAGGGGAUCGAAGACGAUCAGAUACCGUCGUAGUCUUAACCAUAAACUAUGCCGACUAGGGAUCGGAUGA